CCUACGGGAGGCAGCAGUGAGGAAUAUUGGUCAAUGGGCGCGAGCCUGAACCAGCCAAGUAGCGUGAAGGAUGACUGCCCUAUGGGUUGUACACUUCUUUUAUAAAGGAAUAAAGUGAUGCACGUGUGCCUUUUUGUAUGUACUUUAUGAAUAAGGAUCGGCUAACUCCGUGCCAGCAGCCGCGGUACUACGGAGGAUCCGUGCGUUAUCCGGAUUUAUUGGGUUUAAAGGUUGCGUAGGCGGCCUUUUAAGUCAGCUGUGAAAGUUUGUGGCUCAACCAUAAAAUUGCCGUUGAAACUGGAAGGCUUGAGUAUGUUUGAGGCAGGCGGAAGGCGUGGUGUAGCGGUGAAAGGCUUAGAUAUCACGCAGAACCCCGAUUGCGAAGGCAGCCUGCCAAGCCAUGACUGACGCUGAUGCACGAAAGCGUGGGGAUCAAACAGGAUUAGAUACCCGAGUAGUC
Molecule: ribosomal RNA, 460 nt
Filed under: uncultured bacterium
Lineage: Bacteria
Description: partial 16S ribosomal RNA
Rfam family: Bacterial small subunit ribosomal RNA
Source: RNAcentral